CCGCCAUGGUACCCUGGACUGUAUGCUCUGCCAUGGCCUCCUGGACUGCCUGAUCCGCACUGGAAGUAUUCCCCGUGUCCCAGUCCUGCACCAGCCUCCAGGCCUAUGUUCCAGGUGUGUCUCAUCAUCCGAUCCUUUAGUCCUGUGUAUUUUAUAGUGAGCCCUGUUCUAAGGCUGGUCGUCCAGUAUUGUAAAUGUCUGUGGAUGUCAACCUCUCCUGCUACGUGUGUUUUUCCUGGUUCCCUUAAAGACAUUAAAAUCUCCUGUGUUGAUGUACUCCUCGUUCCUCGCUCCCGCACCAUAGUGAAAUUUGACAGUAGGAGGAAAUGCAAAAUAUAUUGUUUGAAGUCAAAGGCCACACAUGGAAUCAAACUAUUUGGUAUUUUGGCUCAAACUGAUGUAAAUCAGUAGAUAUUUACACCAACGAGGACAGUGUGUGAGGUGUGACUCAAGCUUUAAAAACUGAAUAAAGGGAAAAUGAAAAUUUUAAAAAGAGGCCAACAUAAGGCUAUAUUUAAAUCAGAGUAAAUGAGAAGGGGACAUACUUUCACAGCUAACCGUUGUAACUGUGUAAAAUGGCUUAUUGCUUUUAGAAACCAUCUGUUUCUCUUUUACUUUGUCACAUUUCUAAAACACAAGGCUUUAAAUGGGUUUAGGCCAGAUAAUGACGGAUUCAUUUUUUUUUUUUUUGCCGUAUGGAAACUUUUUUGAG
Cyprinus carpio carpio is the source of this 712-nucleotide long non-coding RNA. NCBI's taxonomy places the organism in Eukaryota, Metazoa, Chordata, Actinopteri, Cypriniformes, Cyprinidae. The record is from Ensembl.